RNAcentral lists this long non-coding RNA (5864 nucleotides) under Homo sapiens (human). Its description in RNAcentral is "HSALNT0368718". The record is from RNAcentral. Lineage: Eukaryota; Metazoa; Chordata; Mammalia; Primates; Hominidae.
AAUUUACAUACUUUUUAAGAGUUCGGACGAAAAACCUAAGAAUAAGAAUCCUAUCUGCCAUUCAUUUCUUUUUGUAGUGAAUGAAGCUUAUACAGAAUAAAUAAGUUCCAGAUAAAUUCAACAGGUGAAUCGGAUACCUGCUCUAUGUCAGGUGCUGGGAAUAUACAGAAGAUAAAACAAAAACAAACACAAAAAAACCAACUCCACAUUAUGGAAUUCACAUUGUAAAAGGAAUACAUUUCCCUAUAAUAAUAAUUACAGACAUGUAGUGAGGACAAUCCAUGGGCCACCUGAGUUGUUUUCAAACCUGAGUUCCACUCAUACACCUGUUCUAGAGCCCUUGCUCCAAAACCACUAUUGAUAUUCCAGUUGUAUGUUUUAAAAAAGCCAUUUCCCAUUGAUUUUUGUUAUAAUUGUACCUAUUUUUUUUAAAAAAAGAUGAUAAUUUAGUUUCACCAGGGCUGUUUUCUUUCUUUCUUUUUUUUUUUUUGAGACGGAAUCUUGCUCUUGUUGCCCAGGCUGGAGUACAAUGGCACGAUCUCGGCUCACUGCAACCUCCACCUCCCAGGUUCAAGCAAUUCUCCUGCCUCAGCCUCCUAAGUAGCUGGGAUUACAGGCGCCCGCCACCACGCCCAGCUAAUGUUUGUAUUUUUAGUAGAGAUGAGGUUUCACCGUGUUGGCCAGGCUGGUCUCGAACUGCUGACCUCAUGAUCCGCCCACCUUGGCCUCCCAAAGUGCUGGUAUUACAGGCAAGAGCCACCGCGCCUGGUCAGCCAGGGCUGUUUUCUAUCUCCUAAACAGGAUAACACUGCAGGAGGUACUUCACCUUUAAGAGCUUACAAUGUUGUAGCAAGUGCCCAACUACCUUGUGGAGGAAUCUAGACCCCAUAGCCAGACAUCACAUUUUAUGAUGUACACUCUAAACAUGGUAAAAGUUCAAAGAAGCAGGAGUGCACUGUGAGUAGGUAGAGAAUGCAUCUCUCUGGAGCAGAAACGUCAGAUUAUUUUAACAGUAUAAGCUAUGGAGAGCGAUUAUGAGCCUUGUGGUGCCUGAGAACAGGAAAGAAAGAAGUAUCCUACCUUCCUUAUAUAAUUUAUACCUCGGGGUAACUAAAUGGUUGUGAGGGAGAUUUCCUCAUUACAGAAUAAUUCCAGUUUCACAGUGCAGAACGUCUGAUAGAAUGUUAACAUUUACAACAGCUCAUGAAAUAAAGCUAGACCUCUUCAAUGGCUAACUUAAUGGUUGAAACCAUUAAGUAAAAUGCUGAUGGAGAAGUAUGUGAUUAAUGAAUCAGUAGUAGAGAAGUAUUUAAUUCAUGGAUCAGGGCAACCGCACUUCAACUCACUGAUCAAUUUUAAUAUUACAAAAACAGAUAACUAGAUAUUCUAGUUCAAAUAAUUGAACUAGAUAGUGGUUUACUAAGACUCUAGACUCUCAUCAAGUUUCUAGAUCUGAUGAGUAGUUUAUUAGAAAUUUAAGAUAUAGGGGAACAUUGUUAAAUCACCACAGGAGCACAAGUAGCAAAAAUCCACACUGAAAUUCUAUAAGACAAAUGAUCUAAGGAAAAAAAAUUUUUAAGGAAAGAAGGGCAGGAAAACCUGUAGAGUAAAAUGAAUUUAAAGAUAUUUAUCGGUUUAAUUGCAAUGUAUAGACCUUGUUUGGAUCCUAAUUUGAUCAAAGCUAACCACAAACACAUUUAUGAGACAAUUGGAGAAAUUUUAAAACUGACUGAAUAUUAGAAGUUAAAGAAUUGUUUUUGAAAAUGGUAUUGUGGUUAUAGUUUUUAAAAAUCUUUUGGUAUAUGCAUACUAAAUAAUUUACUAAUGAAUGAUAUGAUCGGACUUUGCUUCAUACUUUAAUCCAUGGGGGAUGGGAAGCAUAUAUGGGAGUACACAGGAAAGAAGCUUGUCUUAGUGUUGGUAUUGAUGAUGGGUGAUGGGUAGAUGGGUUUUUUUAUUCUGUUCUACUUUUGUGUAUAUUUAGAAUGUUCCAUAAUAAAAACUCAAAAACACGUAAAACAAGACAAAGAAAGAUUCCUGUGGUUUGGAGACAACCAAAGCAAAGUGAGAACACAUACAAAACCAUGUGAAGGUUCAAGAGAUUCUCCUGCCUCAGCCUCCCAAGUAAUUGGAAUUACAGGCCCAUGCCACCCCACCCGGCCAAUUUUUUUUGUAUUUUUAGUAGAGAUGGGGUUUUGCCAUGUUGGCCAGGCUGGUCUCAAACUCCUGACCUCAAGUGAUCCGCCAGCCUCGGCCUCCCAAAGUGCUGGGAUUACAGGCACGAGCCACCAUGCCGGACCUAUUAGUGUAUUUACUGGAUAUCAAGAUGACUAAGAAAUAGCACUUGCCUUGAAGGAGCUUUUCUAUUUGAGGAAAAAGACAUGUAUAUAAAUAACUGCAAACAGAAUGAAACAAGUGUUAUGUAGAUCUACAUACAGUGACAUGCCAUGGGAAUGCUGAACACUGAGCAACAGUUUCAACUAGCGAAUUGGCACAGGAAACAUGAAAAAUAAGCGUAUUUUCAAUAUGACAAGAAUGGUCAUUUCUGGAUAUAAGAACAAGAGAAAAGUCAUGGGUAUAUGGAAAGGCAUGGACUCUUCAAGGAAGAGCAAGUAGUCUAAUGUAGAUGCUGUAUAGGAAUCUGGGGACAAAGGGACAGAUAAGUGGUGUAGACAAAGAGGCUGGAAAUAGGGUUAUGGGCUAGAUCAUGAGUGACCUGUAAGCAUUAGGAGUUUUGAUUUAUUUUGGAAUAAGAAACAUUUAUGGCUUUUGAGAAGGAAAAUUACACAAGGGAAAAGAAAGGAUUUUUAUUUUUUAUUUUUAUUUUUGGAGAGAUGAGAUCUCACUAUGUUGCCCAGGCUGGUCUUGAACUCCUGAACUCAAGCAAUCCUCCCGGCUCGGCCUCUGAAACUUCUAGGAUUAUAGGCGUGAGCCACUACGCCCAGCCAGGAUUAUGUUUUUUUAUGGGAGGGAUGAGAAUAUUGGUAGGUGGGUAGAGGAUAAAUGAGAGAGAAUAUGUAUAUGUGAGAUUGAAUAUAUAAUAGAAAAAAUUGAUAGGACAAGUCCUGCGUUAUUACUACAUUUUAUGAGGAAAAUCUAUAUAUUAGAAGCACUUUAAAGGUAUAUUUGCUAUUCUAGCUGUGGAAACCAUCUGAAAACACAUUUGAAAGUGCUUUGAAACAGGGGUCAACUUCUCUGCAAAGGGCCAGAGUAUGUUUAGCUUUGCGGGCCACAGAUGGCCUCUGUUGCAUAUGCUGCUGGGUCUCCACCUUCCUCCUCCUUUUCUUCCCUUCCUCUUCCUUCUUUUUCUUCUUCUCUUUCUUCUUUCUCUUUAAAAGCAUAAAAUCAUUCUCAGCUCUUGGGCCAUACAGAAACAGGCCAUAGGCCAGAUUUGACUUCUAGGCCAUAGUUUGCCGACCCUCCAUUUUAGAACUUAGCUUUCCUGAAAGAGCAUUUGGGUCUCUCUCUCUCUUUCCCUUUCUCUCUCUCUGUCUCUCUCUCUCUCUCUUUCAGUAAGUGAAGUAAGAAAUAGGUCUUUCUUGAGGAACAAAAAGCUGAAAUAAUUUCAUGCAUUUGAAUAUGACCCUUGACCUGUUUUUGUCCAUCAUCACUCAGAUUUGUGGCUGCAACCACCAACCAAUUUGGUGCCAUAGGAUAUAGCAUAAUUUUUCAGCAACAGUUCAUAAGCUUUUCUUUUUGUUCUUUUUCCUUCUUCCAGUUGUGGUGGUUUAAAAACAUGUCUGCAAAAUCUUUGACACUUCUCAGUAAAAAAUAUAGUCUUGUGUUCCCUUUUCUUGAACCUAAGUGGCCUUUGUGCUGCCUCAACAAAUAGAAUAUGACAGAAAAGACACUAUGUGACUUUUGAGACAGGGUCAUAAGAGGUGAUACAGCUUCCCCAUGCCCCUGCAUUUUAGAGCUCUGGGUUGCCAUGUAAGAAUAGCUACCCUGAAGCUACCAUGCUGAAGAGACCACAGGGAAAUCACAUAGAGUUAGAAAGAGGUGUCUGAAGAAGCCCAGCUGCUCCCAAUCCCAGCUAUUUAAGUCCUCCCAGACCAGGUGCCAUAUAUAUGAGUGAGCAAGCCUUCAGAUGGUUCCAGCACCAGCCACCAUCUAGCUGUAAGCUCAUGAGACCCCUUCAACGAAAACCAUCUAGAUUAGCUUAGUCAAGCCCCAGAACCGUGAAAGACAAUAGACUUGCUAUGGAGGUCGCCACAUGCCUCUUUUUUCUCCCUUUGUGAAUGGGAUUAUUUAUAAUGGUUACCCCAUACCUACUCCACUAUGUAUAUUGGGUAUGAGGGAGAGAUAAUUUGUCUCACUAGCUGACAGAUUUUUCAGACCUCAAGGAAUGCCACGUGAGCUGUACUCACAGGACCACACACAAGUAUCUUUAUCCACACGUGACCUGAUUUCACUGAUAAAGUCCUGGACCUUGAGCCUGAGCCCAAUGUCUUAAUAAAUGAGAAUUUCAGAAGGUCUUGGGAGGGGGUGAGUAUAUUUUGCAUGUGGGAAGGAUGUAAAUAAUAUGUGGCCUGAGAGCAGAUUAUGGUGGUUUGAAAAUGUGUCCACCAAUUCUUUAAUACUACUCUCAACAAGAGGUGGAAUCUGUGUCUCUUCCUUUGGAACAUGAGUGGACCUUUGUGAUUAAAUGCAGCAGAAGGAUGCUGUGUGAACUCUGAGACAGGGUAAUAAGGGGUGAUACAGCUGCCACCUAGUUCUUUCUCAGAACAUGUGCCUUUGGAGCCCUGAGCUGCCAUGGAAGAAAACCACCUACCCUGAAGCCACAACACUGGAAAGACCAUGUGGAAGAACCACAGAGAGAGAGAAGAGGACCAAAUGUGUGAGCCUUCCCAGCCCAGGCUCCAAAUAUGCAAGUAGUAAGCCUUCAUUUCUUUUUGGUUUUAAUUUUUUUUUUUAAAUAAAUCGAAAUGGGUUCUCACUAUGUUGCCCAGGCUGGUCUUGAACUCCUAAGCUCAAGUAAUCCUCCUACCUCAGUCUCCCAAAGUGCUGGAAUUGUAGGCAUGAGCCACCAUGCCCGGCUGCAAUUAGUAAGUCUUCAGAUGCUUCCAUCACCAGCCACCAUCCGAUGACAACCCCAUGAAUGACCCUCAGCAAGAACUACCUAGCUGAAUCCAGCCAAACUCCAGACCCAUGAGAGAGAAAUAAAAUUGUUGUUUGAGUCACUAAAUACGGAGUAAUUUAUAUUAUCAACAGAUAACUGGAACCACAAGUGUAAUUGUUAAAGGUAAAACUUUGAAUACAUUUAUAUUUGCCUUCUGCCACAUUCCAUAAUUGACUUUUGUUCAUGAACCUAUUGGCAAGUUUGCCUUAUUGCUUUUCCUUCUUCCCUCUUUUUUUUUUUUGUAACUUAAAAAAUCAUAUAAUAAAACAACACAAAAAUGUAUUUGAAUGUAGGUUGAGUGACCGUAAAUAAGCACAAAACUUCUCCUUCCUGUGACUCUCUUGUCUGUAUAUGCCAAGUAUCUAACACAAGGCCUGCCUGGCACAUAAUUUUUUUUUUUAAAUGUUAGUCUCUUUUAUCAUUCUUUUUCCCUGUCAGUGGUAUUAUCUUUACCCAUGGAAUCCAGCACCCUCAUGCUGACUUAUAGUUCCCCAAAGUCCCUAACCUCUACAGUCCUCUCCAACCCCCACCCCAGGCCUCUCUCUAUGUUCCAGACAUUUUCUGGCUUUUUACCAUUAUCCAAACUCUGAACUUAUCUACUUAGUUUUUAUAAAAAAACACAGAGUGACUACAUAGCUAAUAUAAAUAAUGCCAGUGUUAACACAAAAAUUUGACUUGAAUGAUUACAAUAGCAAACUUCAAUGUUUACCCCAUGGAAUAGGCAGAAAAUUUCAAGCACUUUUCU